Molecule: non-coding RNA, 73 nt
Organism: Desmophyllum pertusum
Lineage: Eukaryota; Metazoa; Cnidaria; Anthozoa; Scleractinia; Caryophylliidae
Source: the annotation of a GenBank genome assembly
GGUUUCGUAGUGUAGUGGUUAUCACGUCUGCUUUACACGCAGAAGGUCGCCGGAUCAAACCCGGCCGAAAUCA